GAUGAACGCUGGCGGCGUGCCUAAUACAUGCAAGUCGAGCGAACAGACGAGGAGCUUGCUCCUCUGACGUUAGCGGCGGACGGGUGAGUAACACGUGGAUAACCUACCUAUAAGACUGGGAUAACUUCGGGAAACCGGAGCUAAUACCGGAUAACAUGUUGAACCGCAUGGUUCAACAGUGAAAGACGGUCUUGCUGUCACUUAUAGAUGGAUCCGCGCCGCAUUAGCUAGUUGGUAAGGUAACGGCUUACCAAGGCAACGAUGCGUAGCCGACCUGAGAGGGUGAUCGGCCACACUGGAACUGAGACACGGUCCAGACUCCUACGGGAGGCAGCAGUAGGGAAUCUUCCGCAAUGGGCGAAAGCCUGACGGAGCAACGCCGCGUGAGUGAAGAAGGUCUUCGGAUCGUAAAACUCUGUUAUUAGGGAAGAACAAAUGUGUAAGUACCUAUGCACGUCUUGACGGUUCCUAAUCAGAAAGCCACGGCUAACUACGUG
Molecule: ribosomal RNA, 497 nt
Filed under: uncultured bacterium
Lineage: Bacteria
Description: partial 16S ribosomal RNA
Rfam family: Bacterial small subunit ribosomal RNA
Source: RNAcentral